Molecule: ribosomal RNA, 460 nt
Filed under: uncultured bacterium
Lineage: Bacteria
Description: partial 16S ribosomal RNA
Rfam family: Bacterial small subunit ribosomal RNA
Source: RNAcentral
CCUACGGGAGGCAGCAGUGAGGAAUAUUGGUCAAUGGGCGCGAGCCUGAACCAGCCAAGUCGCGUGAGGGAAGACGGUCCUAUGGAUUGUAAACCUCUUUUGUCGGGGAGCAAAAGACGCCACGCGUGGCGUUCUGAGAGUACCCGAAGAAAAAGCAUCGGCUAACUCCGUGCCAGCAGCCGCGGUAAUACGGAGGAUGCGAGCGUUAUCCGGAUUUAUUGGGUUUAAAGGGUGCGCAGGCGGAAGAUCAAGUCAGACGUGAAAACCACAGGCUCAACCUGUGGACUGCGUUUGAAACUGGGGGGCUUGAGUGAAGUAGAGGUAGGCGGAAUUCCCGGUGUAGCGGUGAAAUGCGUAGAGAUCGGGAGGAACACCAGUUGCGAAGGCGGCCUACUGGGCUUUAACUGACGCUGAGGCACGAAAGCAUGGGUAGCAAACAGGAUUAGAUACCCCUGUAGUC